AGAAUCAACGCUGGCGGCGUGCCUCAGACAUGCAAGUCGAACGCGAAAGUUUCCUUCGGGAAGCGAGUAGAGUGGCGCACGGGUGAGUAACACGUAAGUAAUCUACCCUUGGGUGGGGAAUAACAUCGGGAAACCGAUGCUAAUACCGCAUAAUGCAGCGGCUUCUUAUGAAGACAGUUGUUAAAAGCAUUUAUGUGCCUGAGGAGGAGCUUGCGGCAGAUUAGCUAGUUGGUAAGGUAAUGGGCUUAACCAAGGCAAACGAUCUGU
RNAcentral lists this ribosomal RNA (267 nucleotides) under uncultured soil bacterium. Its description in RNAcentral is "partial 16S ribosomal RNA". It matches the Rfam family "Bacterial small subunit ribosomal RNA", at positions 26 to 284 of the family's 1533-position model. The record is from RNAcentral.